AUACGUAGGGGGCGAGCGUUGCCCGGAAUGAUUGGGCGUAAAGGGCGCGUAGGCGGCCCGGUAAGUCUGGAGUGAAAGUCCUGUUUUUAAGAUGGGAAUUGCUUUGGAUACUGUCGGGCUUGAGUGCAGGAGAGGUAAGUGGAAUUCCUAGUGGAGCGGUAAAAUGCGCAGAUAUUAGGAAGAACACCGGUGGCGAAGGCGGCUAUCUGGACAGUAACUGACGCUGAGGCGCGAAAGCGUGGGGAGCAAACAGGAUUAGAUACCCUGGUAGUCCACGCCGUAAACGAUGGGCGCUCGUCGUCGGCGACAGACAGUCGGCGGCCAAGCGAAAGCGAUAAGCGCCCCACCUGGGGAGUACGGUCGCAAGGCUGAAACUCAAAUGAAUUGGCGGGG
RNAcentral lists this ribosomal RNA (393 nucleotides) under uncultured bacterium. Its description in RNAcentral is "partial 16S ribosomal RNA". It matches the Rfam family "Bacterial small subunit ribosomal RNA", at positions 523 to 918 of the family's 1533-position model. The record is from RNAcentral.